Molecule: long non-coding RNA, 2954 nt
Organism: Cyprinus carpio carpio
Lineage: Eukaryota; Metazoa; Chordata; Actinopteri; Cypriniformes; Cyprinidae
Source: Ensembl
CUUGGAUAUAAUAUCAGCAUAGCUGUUAGCUACAAAUUCAAGUAUAAGCUAUCUAAUGCAAAAACUAACAAGUAAAAGACGUUUAAACAAAAUGUUUUGUUUGUCACCUUUUGUCUGUCACUUUAAACGGAUCCACUGACUAAAAACAAAUGUUAAAAACGAUGAAGACCACAUUUAACGUCUAGUUUAGUGUCUCUGCUGACAAAGUGAGUUUAUCUGCAUGUGAAAAGUCAACACAUUGUGUUUUACUCAGACCCACUCCAGUAUUUUGGUAGCCAAGCUGCAUCUAAUUGCAUUAAUUGCGCAUAUCCUCUUGCUCUUGUUUGAACACCUGCUCUGAACGAUUUUUUUUUCUUGCUUGUGAAGUACAGACCGCGACAUGCACCGAACCAUUUGGGCUGCCAUUUCUGGAAGUGUUUUUCCAUGUAAAUGUGUCAUCACGACGCUCACAGACAACCUGUCACCUCCGCCUGCUCGCGCGCAUUCACAGCGACCGCACGUGAUCGAUGAGUUCUGAGACGCAGCCACGCGCCAAUAAAACAGCGAGUAAUUAUCGAUAAUUUCGCUGUUUGUUAACUACUAUUAAGCUUUUCUGCGAGUGUUUGUCAGUUUACAGGUUGGGAGGCUUGUUUAGAUCGGUUUAAUCAAGCUGUAUCGGUGUAUUAAAGAUUUUUAGUUAAUAUUUCUGUGUACGUGAGACCGGGAAAUGUAAUAAGUCUUUGUUGACAGGUCUGUAACUUUUUGCUACUUGUCUGAAACUUUGAUGGAAUAUUACAUUUAUAUGCUUAAAAUGACUCUACUAUUGAUAUUUACAAAGUAUCCCUAAAUAACGCCAAACCCAACAACCACAUUAACCAUGGUUUUAUUGUAGUAAAAGUGUAGACCUCAUGUUUUUUUUGUUUUUGUUUUUGGCGUUGAUUACCAUUUGUAUAACCACAAUUUUACUACAAAAACAUGGUUAAACUAUGGUUAAUUUGUGGUUACCAUGGUUUAACUAUAGUAACCAUGGUCUUUGGUUUUGUUUGUAGUAAAACCAUGGUUAAAUUUCAUAAGGGAAGGGUGCUGUUGUUACAACCUUCCUCACUGUCCACUGUUACACUAACAUAAAACAUUAAUGUGUACGAUAUUUUUAUUCAUUUUAAUUCAGAAAGCAAACAAAAUUUGAAACAAAUAUAUAAAAACACAUUAAAUGCAGUCAAACAAAUUGUAUGUAAUGUUUCUCAUUUCAUGGAUCCAGUUUAAGUGUUAAAAAGUGCUGAAAGUGUUACAACCCUUCAUGUCUGCUCUGCCAUGAUAUUUCUAGUUUUCAAAAUGUAGAUGAAAAGCUUAAAUUGAUUCUGUAUAUCAAACCAAUGUUUCUUACCUCUUCUUUUUUUUUUCUUUUUCUGAAGUAAAAAAAUAUAAAAGGUCACUUACAGCUGUCACCUUAGAAGGGUGGUGGUCAAUGUAAGAUUCUCCUCUGUAGCUCAUUUCUAAUUGGCUAAACUGAUGGUCUUACAACUCCCCGGUCUCUCCUACACACAAUGUAUGUCUGUAAAUCAGAUAGGACCACAAGGUUGACCAACCAUAAUUACAUACAGCAUACCUAAUUUAAUUUCCUGAUAGAUAACACCGUUUAUUUAUUAGAUUUGUAAUGAAAAGUGGUUAUCAGUAUUGCACAGAACAUCUCAGAGUGAGAUUUAUCUGUGCAUCAUCGAGAGACAACAGUGGAAUAAUUUUUAAGAGUCUCACAAUAUGAACGCGUCAGGAUCUAACAGGUGGUUCAGAACAUCUGUUCAAUGCCUCAGAGGUUUGUCACUAAGCCGCACGCAAGAAAUAAUUAAUUCUGACUAGAUUAACCAGCCUACAGCUCAGUCUAAUUUAUGUUCAUCUAGAAAAAAAAAGCUUUAUUAUUUUUUCUCCAUUAUGUGCACAACAGCAUCUUUGUUUCCACCAAUUUAAAUAAUAAUUUAAACUCGAUGAAUUUCUUCAUCACCAAAAGGUGAAUUAAAUUCACUACUGCACAUUGCAACUUGCAACAAAUAAAAUUUGGUUUUAAAUUUAAGUGCACUAAAUAGUGCCUUGAUCUAUAUACACUCACAGUAAUAUACAUUCAGAAACCAAAAGCUAUUAGGAGGAAUUCUUGGGGGUCAAAACUGCAAUUUUCUAAGGGAGGCUUUAACUUUAGUGCAACUACUUCCGAAUAAAUCAUUUAUUUGCUAAAUUGUCCCAGGGGCUGAUCCCGUGCUGUUGGAAAUGAUUGCCAUUGACUCCCUUGUUCUGUGCAGUGACACUGGGAGCUGUCCAGCACUGUGGUGCUGAAAUUGAUUGAAGCGCAGACGCCUAGCACAUAUCCGGCGGAAGCUAAUUAUAUGCACCCUUUUCCUCACACACACACAUAUAUAAUUUUUUUUUUUUUUUGUGAGUGGGCAUUGAGCACGUUGUUUUCGAUGUUUUCAAGAGUUCAUCCACCUCCUUGAUGGGUUUUUUUUUUUCACCUUUUUUACAUUCCGCUUGUGGAAAACGGGCACUUUUGCAAAGCAUAUUAUUUUAACAAUUAUUUUCCCUUGUAAAUGCAUAUACACAAUAAACUCUUACCUCUAACCUAAUUGAUGCUUUUAGUGUUUUAAGGGGUCAAAUUUAAAAUUAAAAAAUUUAAUUCUGAUAUCAUUUGCUCGCCCUCAUGUCGUUCAAAAUCUAUUUUUGCUUUUUUCUAUGAAGUAGAACAGAGCAGCUUUAGUCAGUAUUCAGUGGAGCAAGAUGCAAUGAAAACAAAUGGUGACUGAGGCUGUCAGUCCCUAACAUCAUCUUUUGUCUUCCACAUUCAGUUUGGAAUGACAUGAGGAAAGAUAUGAAAUGAAGAAUAUCUUACGUGUCUUUGCUGAUGCGCUUCGGAGGAUGCUUCGCUGGAGAUGACAGCCCGUCUUCUUCUCGCCAUGUGCUGUAACAAAAGCAUCCCAUGCAUCCGAAGCCUG